CCUACGGGGGGCAGCAGUGGGGAAUAUUGCACAAUGGGGGAAACCCUGAUGCAGCGACGCCGCGUGAGUGACGAAGUACUUCGGUGUGUAAAGCUCUAUCAGCAGGGAAGAAAAUUACGGUACCUGCGUGAUAACCCCCGGGUAACUCCGUGCCAGCAGCCGCGGUAAUACGUAGGGGGCAAGCGUUAUCCGGAUUGACUGUGUGUAAAGUGAGCGUAGACGGGAGUGCAAGUCUGGAGGGAAAGGCGGGGGCUCAACCCCCGGACUGCUCUGGAUACUGUACGGCUGGAGUGCAGGAGAGGUAAGUGGAAUUCCUAGUGUAGCGGUGAAAUGCGUAGAUAUUAGGAGGAACACCAGUGGCGAAGGCGGCUUACUGGACUGUAACUGACGUUGAGGCUCGAAAGCGUGGGGAGCAAACAGGAUUAGAUACCCGUGUAGUC
This 440-nucleotide ribosomal RNA is filed under the name uncultured bacterium. Its description in RNAcentral is "partial 16S ribosomal RNA". It matches the Rfam family "Bacterial small subunit ribosomal RNA", at positions 338 to 795 of the family's 1533-position model. The record is from RNAcentral.